This is a long non-coding RNA of Pan troglodytes (chimpanzee), 997 nucleotides long. RefSeq lists it as uncharacterized. The record is from RefSeq and is a predicted model, not a curated record. NCBI's taxonomy places the organism in Eukaryota, Metazoa, Chordata, Mammalia, Primates, Hominidae. The transcript is spliced from 8 exons.
ACCAUUUGAAGCUAAGAUACAAAAAUCGUGACCUCAACACUUCUACCCUUGAAUCCUGACUAUUGGAGAAACAGCACCAUAUUUUGGAUACUGAUUCAGACCAUAUACAGCCUUCUGGAGAAUCUUGCCCCAGUCCUGAAAGGUUUUGGUAUCAGGAUGAUGCUGGCAUCAUAAAAUGAGUAUUUUUCUUCAGACUUCAGACUGCUGUGCUGGAAGCAAGAAUUUCAAGCAUUGGAUCUUAGCUUGCUGGGCUCCAUAGGGGUGGGAUCCACUGAGCUAGACCACUUGGCUCCCUGGCUUCAGCCCCCUUCCAGAUGUCCUUGGCGUGUACACCCUGUGGAAUCUGGUUCAUCUUCAAUCUGUCAGAAGGCAUCAGAGGUGGUUUUGACUCCUUAUGUCUUGGACCUGUGCACAAAAAGUACGGGCAGGAGAGGAUGCAGGAGACUGUACAAAGUUCAAGAAACGAUAUGCUUUAAUCAAGGUAAAAUGGAUGGAACAUCAGACAGCUCAUUAUAGAGACAAGUAAGCUCCAGUUCCAAAGUUGGUUGACAGAACAAGUCAUGACCUUGUGUGGAGGAAAAUGAGAUCCCGAGUGAAGUCUACAAUGUCAUUGACUCUGAAGAAGGACUCAGAGACCCAUUGGUGUUUAAUGACCCUUACUGGCCUAUGCAAUGGAAACUGAAUUUCAGUUGCUGCUGGCUGGCAGCCAUUCUUGAAGGAGAGAAGAGAGUUGUGCUGGCAGGCGAAUGAAUUUGUCCUACAUGUCCUCUCCAGCAGAAUGUCAUGUGGGGUCAACUUCUAGUCCCAAGUUUGAUAUCAUCUGAUGAAUUCCUCUGUACAGAUAUUCUGAUUCUUCCAUGUUAUUGUAUGGAGCUGCUUCAUAGAUCUUCGGUUAUGUGGACAUUUGUAUAUCUACCAUUUUUCCAUGCCCAAACAGAUUCUGGAUGAAUCUGUUUUUAAAAAACUAUCUGGGAUCACCAAUUAAAUGAUUUUCCUG